This 440-nucleotide ribosomal RNA is filed under the name uncultured bacterium. RNAcentral describes it as "partial 16S ribosomal RNA". It matches the Rfam family "Bacterial small subunit ribosomal RNA", at positions 338 to 795 of the family's 1533-position model. The record is from RNAcentral.
CCUACGGGUGGCUGCAGUGGGGAAUAUUGGACAAUGGGGGCAACCCUGAUCCAGCCAUGCCGCGUGAGUGAUGAAGGCCUUAGGGUUGUAAAGCUCUUUCACCCGGGACGAUAAUGACGGUACCGGGAGAAGAAGCCCCGGCUAACUUCGUGCCAGCAGCCGCGGUAAUACGAAGGGGGCUAGCGUUGUUCGGAAUCACUGGGCGUAAAGCGCACGUAGGCGGACCGUUAAGUCGGAGGUGAAAUCCUGGGGCUCAACCCCAGAACUGCCUUCGAUACUGGCGGGCGCGAGUCCGGAAGAGGUGAGUGGAACUGCCAGUGUAGAGGUGAAAUUCGUAGAUAUUGGCAAGAACACCAGUGGCGAAGGCGGCUCACUGGUCCGGUACUGACGCUGAGGUGCGAAAGCGUGGGGAGCAAACAGGAUUAGAUACCCCAGUAGUC